UACGUAGGGAGCAAACGUUGUCCGGAUUUAUUGGGCGUAAAGGGCUCGUAGGCGGUUCAACAAGUCGGUCGUGAAAGCCCGGGGCUCAACCCCGGGAUGCCGGUCGAAACUGUUGUGACUAGAGUUCGGUAGAGGUGAGUGGAAUUCUCAGUGUAGCGGUGGAAUGCGCAGAUAUUGAGAGGAACACCAUUAGCGAAGGCGGCUCACUGGGCCGAUACUGACGCUGAGGAGCGAAAGCGUGGGGAGCAAACAGG
This 254-nucleotide ribosomal RNA is filed under the name uncultured bacterium. RNAcentral's name for it is "partial 16S ribosomal RNA". It matches the Rfam family "Bacterial small subunit ribosomal RNA", at positions 524 to 776 of the family's 1533-position model. The record is from RNAcentral.